This 792-nucleotide long non-coding RNA is filed under the name Heterocephalus glaber (naked mole-rat). Its description in RNAcentral is "lncRNA (ENSHGLG00100034130.1)". The record is from RNAcentral. Lineage: Eukaryota; Metazoa; Chordata; Mammalia; Rodentia; Bathyergidae.
GAACUCUUUAAGGGUUAAAUCUGUAUCAGACCAUCUGGAAGCACAAGCAGCCAGCAUUCGGGUUGUAACUCAAGAUCUUGUUCAUAAGUUAAAACUAAUACUCCAGUUGUGACCCAAGUUGUUCAUAUAUCAGGCUGGUCGUAACUCGAGUCCACUGCGUUGUGAAAAACUUGAGAAUAUUAAAGAGAUUUUGGUUAUGUAGGGUUUUUUUUUUAAAGCAGUGGCAAAGUUUACUGGAGAAAGUGAAAGUGAAGAGUUGGAAGAAACUGGCUCUGCAGAGCGAGCGUGGGCUGAGGAAAGAGAAAGGGGAACAGGAGAGGUACAUGCUGGCCUGGGAAACAGCUAACGACAGAAACUGAAACAAGAAUCUUUAAAACAUCUGAACAUCCAAGGACACGGCCUGGAUGGUGGAGAACUUUACAUUGGCGGGCGCAGGCCUGGAGGAGGGAAAAGCCUCCCGGAAGUCGUUCCUGCCUGGUGCACCUGUGAACAGGUCAUGGGGACACACGACACACUUGUGAAACCACCACCACCACAACUGAGAUACAGUAAUGAGCUGUUGAUCCCCUCCAAACUUUCUGGGGCCAGACCGCAGCGGUGCACGUCCGAAAUCCCAGCUAUGCAAGAGGCUGAGACGGAAGGAUCAUGUUUGAAUCCAGCCUGGGGAACUUGGGAUCGAACUCAGGACCUUGCACUUGCAAGGCAGACGGUGGAACCACUGAGAGGAUGUCUUCUGCAGGACAGGCUUCAGCGGCAUGCCACAGGAAACAGGAGAGUGGCCUUUGAACAGAC